UGCCCACAAGGAGAGGAAUCCAGAGGAACACGGCUGCCAUGGCUGCCCCAGCCUGGCCCAGGCCCUAUGCAGGUGCCGCCCCUUCACCCCUCAGCCUGGGAAACAUCAGGGCAAGGACAUCUGGGACCCUCCCAGUCAGGCUUGAGGAUCCGAGGGUGUGGACCUGCAGCUGGGAAGUGGCUUUGUCCUCGUUCCUUCUUCUCUCCCCCUGACCACCCCACUGUCCCCGGAGGGCCACCAAAUGCCACAGUCAGCAUCUACUCUGGCUCCCAGCUGUCACAGGCAGCAGUGCCUGCGCCCCGAGUCACCGGGCCCACGGAGGCCAGCGAUCCUUAGAAGAGCUGCAGUCACCUCUCUUCUGAUCCUCCCCCGAAGGCCCAGGGACCGUCCCCAGGGCCAGCUGGAGCCCGAGCCCCAGGUGACCGACCACAGCUGACCAGAAGGGUCGCAACCUACUGCUGAACAUGAACA
Long non-coding RNA from Fukomys damarensis (Damara mole-rat), 471 nucleotides. RefSeq lists it as uncharacterized. The transcript has 3 exons. The record is from RefSeq and is a predicted model, not a curated record. NCBI's taxonomy places the organism in Eukaryota, Metazoa, Chordata, Mammalia, Rodentia, Bathyergidae.